This 1278-nucleotide ribosomal RNA is filed under the name Klebsiella pneumoniae. RNAcentral describes it as "bacterial SSU rRNA". It matches the Rfam family "Bacterial small subunit ribosomal RNA", at positions 262 to 1533 of the family's 1533-position model. The record is from RNAcentral. Lineage: Bacteria; Pseudomonadati; Pseudomonadota; Gammaproteobacteria; Enterobacterales; Enterobacteriaceae. RNAcentral also lists the same sequence under 1 other name.
GGCUCACCUAGGCGACGAUCCCUAGCUGGUCUGAGAGGAUGACCAGCCACACUGGAACUGAGACACGGUCCAGACUCCUACGGGAGGCAGCAGUGGGGAAUAUUGCACAAUGGGCGCAAGCCUGAUGCAGCCAUGCCGCGUGUGUGAAGAAGGCCUUCGGGUUGUAAAGCACUUUCAGCGGGGAGGAAGGCGUUAAGGUUAAUAACCUUGGCGAUUGACGUUACCCGCAGAAGAAGCACCGGCUAACUCCGUGCCAGCAGCCGCGGUAAUACGGAGGGUGCAAGCGUUAAUCGGAAUUACUGGGCGUAAAGCGCACGCAGGCGGUCUGUCAAGUCGGAUGUGAAAUCCCCGGGCUCAACCUGGGAACUGCAUUCGAAACUGGCAGGCUAGAGUCUUGUAGAGGGGGGUAGAAUUCCAGGUGUAGCGGUGAAAUGCGUAGAGAUCUGGAGGAAUACCGGUGGCGAAGGCGGCCCCCUGGACAAAGACUGACGCUCAGGUGCGAAAGCGUGGGGAGCAAACAGGAUUAGAUACCCUGGUAGUCCACGCCGUAAACGAUGUCGAUUUGGAGGUUGUGCCCUUGAGGCGUGGCUUCCGGAGCUAACGCGUUAAAUCGACCGCCUGGGGAGUACGGCCGCAAGGUUAAAACUCAAAUGAAUUGACGGGGGCCCGCACAAGCGGUGGAGCAUGUGGUUUAAUUCGAUGCAACGCGAAGAACCUUACCUGGUCUUGACAUCCACAGAACUUUCCAGAGAUGGAUUGGUGCCUUCGGGAACUGUGAGACAGGUGCUGCAUGGCUGUCGUCAGCUCGUGUUGUGAAAUGUUGGGUUAAGUCCCGCAACGAGCGCAACCCUUAUCCUUUGUUGCCAGCGGUUCGGCCGGGAACUCAAAGGAGACUGCCAGUGAUAAACUGGAGGAAGGUGGGGAUGACGUCAAGUCAUCAUGGCCCUUACGACCAGGGCUACACACGUGCUACAAUGGCAUAUACAAAGAGAAGCGACCUCGCGAGAGCAAGCGGACCUCAUAAAGUAUGUCGUAGUCCGGAUUGGAGUCUGCAACUCGACUCCAUGAAGUCGGAAUCGCUAGUAAUCGUAGAUCAGAAUGCUACGGUGAAUACGUUCCCGGGCCUUGUACACACCGCCCGUCACACCAUGGGAGUGGGUUGCAAAAGAAGUAGGUAGCUUAACCUUCGGGAGGGCGCUUACCACUUUGUGAUUCAUGACUGGGGUGAAGUCGUAACAAGGUAACCGUAGGGGAACCUGCGGUUGGAUCACCUCCUUA